UCCCAACCUUCUCUUUGUUCUUCAGGCAUACCCAAGAACACUCCAUCUGUGUGUAUGCCCCAAAUUGCAAUUCUAUGAUUCCCAAAUAAAACAUUUCACUUACAGAUUCAUUUCUCUCUCUCUCUCUCUCAUACGUAUUUCACAUAUAUUUGAGACAGGGUCUUGCUCUGUUGCCUCAGGCUGGAGUGCAGUGGCGCAAUCACAGCUCAAUGCAGCCUUGAACUCCUGGACUCAAGCAAUUCUUCUGCCUCAACCUGCCAAGUAGUUGGGACUACACAUGUGCCAUCACACUCAGGUAAUUUUAUUUUAUUUUUUAAUUUUUAGUUUAUAGAGACAUGGUCUCACUAUGUUGCUCAGGCUAGUCAUGAACUCCUGGCCUCAAGAAAUCCUCUUGGCUUGGCCUCCCAAAGUGCUGGGAUUACAGGUGUGAGCCACUGUGCCUGGCCUAGUUUGAGGAUUUCUAAUUAGCCUUACCAAUUAGCAAGUAGAGGCCAAAGUCCUUCUGCAGAGGAAAAGGACCACAGGAAAGGGAGAGAAAGGCCAUUAAGAUAAAUAGCAGGCGAACCUCUAUAGGAAAACAGAGACAUGAAGGUGAGGUCCCCCGUCUCUGGUAAACUCAUGGUUCAAUCAUCACAGAUGGGCCAAUGAAACAGACACCAACUAACCAGGACAUUCAAAGAAUAACAGCAGUUGCUGUCCAGGACGUCACGGCCAGCCACACAAUCCCAAAUCAUCACCACAGAUGUUUAAAGCCAAAGUGGACAGCUGCCACCAAAAGGUGCCAAAUCAUAGCCAAGACAUGGAUGUUCCCAUGGAACUCCAAAUUAGCUAGUUACACAAGCUUGUGCGGGCCGUUUCAUUAAUCUCCCAAUAAUUCAACCCCUCAUUUCUAAUGAUUGGAUAUUUGGGUACUCACUUAUGGCAUUAUGGCAGGGUUUUUAUUGUUGUUGUUGUUCUUGUUGUUGUUGUUGUUGUUUUUGAGACAGAGUCUCGCUCUGUCACCCAGGCUGGAGUGCAGUGGCACAAUCUCGGCUCACUGCAAGCUCCGCCUCCUGGGUUCACUCCAUUCUCCCACCUCAGCCUCCCUAGUAGCUGGGACUACAGGUGCCCGCCACCACGCCAGGCUAAUUUUUUUUUUUUUUUUUUUUUUGUUAGAGACAGGGUUUCACCAUUCACAGGAUGGUCUCAAUCUCCUCACCUUUUGAUCCACCCAUCUCGGCCUCCAAAAGUGCUGGGAUUACAGGCGUGAGCCAUUGCGCCCGGCCGGCAGGGUUUUAUUGAGCUUCUUUCAUAAUCAAAAUGAAAUUAAUAUUAUUUAAGAAAAUAAUAUUUUAGAAUAAAAUAUUCAAAGUCUUCACCUAAAUGACUCUGAAGAUAAACAAAAAGUUCUAAAAUGUAAUUAUAAACAGUUUAGAAUGUAUUUUUAAAAAUCUAAACAUAUAUAGAAACUGAAGAAAUGAGUCCAAAGCUGCAUUCAAUGGAAAAUUCAUAGUAUUAAAUAUUUUUGUUACAAAAAAGAGGAAAAAUAACAUAAAUAAAUCAAGUAUUCAUUUCAAGAUAUUAAGUUGAAAAAAUAGAAUAUUUUAAAAGAUAAAAGUACCACAAAGGAAAUAGAACAUGAAAAUAUAUAUAAAUUGAGAAAUAAAUCCAAGAGCUGGUUAUUUAAAGAACAAGAAAGCCAAUGAAAAACUUUGACAAAGCUUAUUAGCAAGAGAAAGGAUCCAUUGUAAUGGGGUGAUAUUUUGAAAACUACUAGUUUAUUUUCUCUUUUGUCUUUCUGAGUAUAUGACCUUACCCUAGACCACUUGAAACAUCUUUGCAGGGAGGAAGAAGAGAUUAAGACUUUUUCCUGAAAGAAUGCAAAAAGAGAAGAUAAGGUAAUAAUCCACUUUAGACAAGUAAAAUAGAAUUUUCUGCAGCCUCAAGAGAAUAUAUUCCAAAUUCUUUUCAUUCUCCCACUUUAGCACAUUAACCAUCUUACCUGGAAGACACAGCUCCUUGAAUUUCCCCAAUCCUUUGCCUCUAGUCCCCACAAUUUAUCAUUAAGGCUUGAGCUUGAGUUAGACUUGGAGGUUUGCAUCAGGGCAAAUAGAAUAUGAAACAGGGAAGCCUGCAAAUUUCUGGAACUGAGUCAGUAGGAGCAGAAGAGCAAAAAAGAAAGAGGAAAGUUUUGGCUCAGAGAGGGAGAAAGAUGGGGGCAAUAAAAAGCUAGUGACAAGAGUAAUAACAAGGACAAAAAAGCUUUGCUUCCUCCUCCAAUCAGGAUUUUGAAAUAGAUCACUUCUUGGGCAGCACUCCAUCCUGAGAUAACUAAGAGUAGGGUCACAUCUACUUGCUGGAGCAAGUAGAGGGAGGCCAUGAUAUUUAGUUUUCUGAACCAAUUUUGGUUUUUAUAUGUUUAGAUGAGGCCCAGAAAUAGGUGAGAGGUGGCUGUGGAGCUAGCUAGCAACAGCUGAGUGAGUAGCAUCAUAGCAAAUGUCGCAGAGAGACAACCCAAGAUAGGAUCAGAAGAGAAUCUUUGCUAGAUCCCUGAAAGGUAACAUCAGUAGGAUCUGAGGUGAGGACAAGACUAGCCAGGAGCAACAGCAGGUGCAACACCUGAGGGAAAAGAAAGAGCCACAAGCUGCAGAUCUUAUCGUUGGCUCUCAACAGAGUGCCUGGACACCGGAUGGAAAAGGAUCAACAUCACCCUGUAGAUUAGAAGGAAAAGAUACCAUAAUCAUGAGUUUCAACUCUUGACCGCUGCAUCACCUAAGGCCCCCUCCCUAAUAUACCUGAAUGUCAUCUUUUUCUUUUUUUCUUUUGAGACAGAGCCUUGGCCUGCCACCCAGGCUGGAGUGCAGUGUCAUGAUCUUGGCUCACUGCAACCUCCCCUUCGUUGGUUCAAGCGAUUCUCACCUCUCAGCCUCCUGAGUAGCUGGGACUACAGGUGCACACACUCACACCCAGCUAAUUUUUGUAUCCUCUAGUAGAGACAAGGUUUCAUCAUGUUGGUCAGGCUAGUCUCGAACUCCUGACUUCAAGUGAUCCACUCACCUCUGCCUCCCAAAGUGCUGGGAUUACAGGCUUGAGCCUCCGUGCUCGGCCUACUUGGAUAGCAUCUUAAAGUGAGAUGAGAUGGUAGGAGCAAUCCGAGAGCCUGGGCAUUUUUCCUCAGAAAGAACAAAUAUUGCCAGAAAGAGUCUCUUCAAUUGUCACCUCUAAGCUUUUGCCUGGAUUGAAUAUUUGAACACACACACACACACAGACACACACACACACCAUCUUUCCCAGCACCUAUGGCAGGCAACACAGUGGGAGAUUAAACGUGUGGGAUUCUGGAUUCUCCUGGCCUGGGUUUCACUCCAGGCUCCACAAUGUGUUAACUCUGUGACUGUGGGCAAUUUACUUCAUCUUGUUGCUUCGAUUUGCCCCUCUGUAAAAAUUAGAAUAACAAUAGUUUGUCUUAGUAUUUCUUAAGGAUUCAAUGAAUUAAAUGUAAAGUGCUUAUUCCCAACAGCAAAGUCAUGGAAUCAACCUAAGUGUCCCUCAGUAGAGGACUGGAUAAAGAAAAUGUGGCAUAUAUGUACCACAUACUAGAACUCAGCCAUAAAAAAAGAAGGAUUUAAUGUCUUUUACAGCAACAGGAAGGGAACUGGAGGCC
Molecule: long non-coding RNA, 3643 nt
Filed under: Homo sapiens (human)
Lineage: Eukaryota; Metazoa; Chordata; Mammalia; Primates; Hominidae
Description: HSALNT0356682
Source: RNAcentral